AGAGUUUGAUCCUGGCUCAGGAUGAACGCUGGCGGCGUGCUUAACACAUGCAAGUCGAACGAUGACUUUUGUGCUUGCACAAAAUGAUUAGUGGCGAACGGGUGAGUAACACGUGAGUAACCUGCCCUUAACUUCGGGAUAAGCCUGGGAAACCGGGUCUAAUACCGGAUACGACGGAUUCCCGCAUGGGGGUCCGUGGAAAGCUUGAUGCGGUUUUGGAUGGACUCGCGGCCUAUCAGCUAGUUGGUUGGGGUAAUGGCCCACCAAGGCGACGACGGAUAGCCGGCCUGAGAGGGUGACCGGCCACACUGGGACUGAGACACGGCCCAGACUCCUACGGGAGGCAGCAGUGGGGAAUAUUGCACAAUGGGCGAAAGCCUGAUGCAGCGACGCCGCGUGAGGGACGAAGGCCUUCGGGUUGUAAACCUCUUUCAGCAGGGAAGAAGCGAAAGUGACGGUACCUGCAGAAGAAGCGCCGGCUAACUACGUGCCAGCAGCCGCGGUAAUACGUAGGGCGCAAGCGUUAUCCGGAAUUAUUGGGCGUAAAGAGCUCGUAGGCGGUUUGUCGCGUCUGCUGUGAAAGCCCGGGGCUCAACCCCGGGUCUGCAGUGGGUACGGGCAGACUAGAGUGCAGUAGGGGAGACUGGAAUUCCUGGUGUAGCGGUGAAAUGCGCAGAUAUCAGGAGGAACACCGAUGGCGAAGGCAGGUCUCUGGGCUGUAACUGACGCUGAGGAGCGAAAGCAUGGGGAGCGAACAGGAUUAGAUACCCUGGUAGUCCAUGCCGUAAACGUUGGGCACUAGGUGUGGGGGACAUUCCACGUUUUCCGCGCCGUAGCUAACGCAUUAAGUGCCCCGCCUGGGGAGUACGGCCGCAAGGCUAAAACUCAAAGGAAUUGACGGGGGCCCGCACAAGCGGCGGAGCAUGUGGUUUAAUUCGGAGCAACGCGAAGAACCUUACCAGGUCUUGACAUCCCGCUGACCGGCCUAGAGAUAGGCUUUUCCCUUCGGGGACAGCGGUGACAGGUGGUGCAUGGUUGUCGUCAGCUCGUGUCGUGAGAUGUUGGGUUAAGUCCCGCAACGAGCGCGACCCUUGAUCUUAGUUGCCAGCAUUCAGUUGGGCACUCUAAGGUGACUGCCGGUGAUAAACCGGAGGAAGGUGGGGAUGACGUCAAAUCAUCAUGCCCCUUAUGACCUGGGCUACACACGUGCUACAAUGGACGGUACAGAGGGUCGCAACCCCGCGAGGGUGAGCAAAUCCCAUAAAACCGUUCUCAGUUCGGAUUGUAGGCUGCAACUCGCCUACAUGAAGCCGGAAUCGCUAGUAAUCGUGGAUCAGCAUGCCACGGUGAAUACGUUCCCGGGCCUUGCACACACCGCCCGUCAAG
This 1386-nucleotide ribosomal RNA is filed under the name uncultured bacterium. Its description in RNAcentral is "partial 16S ribosomal RNA". It matches the Rfam family "Bacterial small subunit ribosomal RNA". The record is from RNAcentral.